RNAcentral lists this long non-coding RNA (1189 nucleotides) under Anas platyrhynchos platyrhynchos (common mallard). RNAcentral's name for it is "lncRNA (ENSAPLG00000022305.1)". The record is from RNAcentral. Lineage: Eukaryota; Metazoa; Chordata; Aves; Anseriformes; Anatidae.
CCUGCUGCUGGCCGGGGCAUGUCACGACAGGAGGAGUUAUAUCGCGAUAGGAGGGGUUAUAUCGCGAUAGGAAGGGGUUAUAUAGCGACAGGAGGGGGUUAUAUCGUGAUAGGAGGGGUUAUAUCGUGACAGGAGGGGAUUAUAUAGCGACAGGAGGGGGUUAUAUAGCGACAGGAGGGGGUUAUAUCUUGAUAGGAGGGGUUAUAUCGUGACAGGAGGGGUGUUAUAUAACGACAGGAGGGGUUAUAUCACGACAGGAAGGGUCAUAUUGCAACAGGAAGGGGUUAUAUCAUGACAGGAAGGGGUUAUAUCGUGACAGGAGGGGUUAUAUCGCGACAGGAGGGCAUUUUGGGGGAGCCUUUAUGCGCCCCCAUUGAACCGUUUAGACGAAAACCCGACCCAAAACCAGAGGCGUCCCCAAAAACCAAGUCAGCCAGUGCCCCCCCCCCUCCCCUAAAUUCCCCUUAAUUUCCCUCUAUUUUGGGGCAUUUCGCUUAAAAAAAAACUUAAAAUGAGCUCCGAGGGGCUCCGCAGCCAGCCAAACUGCGGGAAAAAGCCCCAAAAAUAUCCCAAAGCGGCCCCGACCCCCCCCCCAAAAAAAUGUGCCGCUGUUCUUGGGGUCGGCGCGGCCCCCCCCAAACCCUGCCCCCUUGUUUACCCCCAGAUUUGAUGAGAUUUGAUAAUAAUUUGAUGAAAUUUGAUGAUAUUUGAUAUUUGAUGAUAUUUGGUGAUAUUUGGUGAUAAUUUGAUGAAAUUUGAUAAAAUUUGAGCUAAUUUUUUGAGCCCCUCACCCCCAGAGCCGCGUGCAAUAAAGGCGCCCGCUGCCACACCCGGUGCUGUACUUUAACAGAUUCUGCGAGUUCUUACCCCAAAACGACGGGCUUACCGGGCUCAACCCCAGAGGCUCCGACCCAGCUGCAAAACGCGGAAAAUGGGAAAAGCGAAGAAUUGACCCCAAAAUGACACCCGCGGCUCCUCAACCAGCAGGGCCAGAGAAGGACCUGGUCCCUGGGGGUACUGGGAGCACUGGGCUACACACACGAGGCUUACUGGGAGCACUGGGCCCCACAUACAGGGGUUACUGGGAGCACUGGGCUACACACACCAGGCUUACUGGGAGCACUGGGCCCCACAUACAGGGGUUACUGGGAGCACUGGGCCGUACUGGGAGCACUGGGCCCCACAUACU